GAGGGGGUCUCACAACGUGUUUGCUCGCUCGGCGACGGUUGGGUAUACGACAAAUAGCAGCGCGACUCAAUUAUUCGAGGAAGAAGGUGACACGACAGAAGCUUGAGGAAUGCCAGUCGAAGCGGGGAAGCGAGGAACUUCAAACGUGUGUGCGCAUAUGCACCAACGAUAUCCUCGUGAAUUCGAUUCGAGGCACGCGUGUUGGCUGACUGAUAUUGCAAAAUCGCUGCACGUUACUUAUUAGCAUAAACUCUUUGUUGCCUAUGACGCCGAUUUACCGGACGAAUCUUCUCGUCCCUCGUUACGCAUCGAUUACAUUAUGUUAUCGUUCGAUUUUCCCAGGAAGAUUUAACGACUAUUCGUGCUCGAUUAUUCGAUGUAAAAAUACACUAAAAAUUUCAAUUCAUGAUCAGAAACAUUCGAAGACAAUGGGAUUAACUAGCGGAACAUUGCAUCCUGGAGAGUAGCAAUGGUGAAGUAGCGCGUUCGCAAGUUGAUGCAGUUGUACGACCUAAAUUUCCUGUUCGUUAAAUAUUUCACGUUGCAGUGGUGACCGUCUAUAUACGAAAGGCGAUAGUCGACGAAAAGCAGAUCCGCUUUUCUUGGCGUUAACGUGCCGACGAUCCACCUUGUUUGCCGAUAGCGUUGCUCUACCGUGAUCAGGUGAACCGUGAACAGAAUCACUUACAGGAGAGGCAAAGAAGCCAAAAGCGAAACGGUGGAUGAAAAAGUGCGAGCGCCGGGAAAGGAAAAGCGAGCAUACGUGCGGAGUAACGUCAAAGGCGUGAGAAGGGGAGUGACGAGUGGCGAGCAGCAUGAUGGGAUGAAAAAGCCGAAAGGCAGGAACGAAACGGGGAAGGAUCCCGGCGGACAGUAGUGCGAGCUAUCGGGUAACAUUCGUCAUGGUGAGUGCGGAGACGUCGACCUCGCAGAUACGCCGAUCAGACUAGUCCGCAGUCCUUCUCUCGUAUAACGACAGAAACCAGCAACCAGCAACCGUCAACCGUCAAUCGUCAACUAACCAGCAACGCGUCAACACACUGAAACAUAUUCAAUCAUCGUGUGUUUCCUGCAAAGAUUCCCAAAGAGUAAGCGUGAGCCAUUUUCAUUGUAACUUGCACAACCUCUACAUAGGAGAAUGCGAGCCAGCAAAACCAUUCAGAGAAAAGAGAAAAAUUCCUUUAAUCACACGUACUCUGCAAGUACAAAUUUCUCCGAUAGCAUAUCGAUAUUACGUCGAUUCAUCGCUUUAACAGCUGAGCAAUCUUCUGGGCUAGUACCGAAAGAUGUCCACGUAUACAUUAAUAAAAAGUCGUCAGCAGGAAUACACCGCUCGAGCGACGCAUCUUGCACGCGAUAUCAAACUUUCCUAUAAAGCUUAACCGCGGUUGAAGACCUUCGGCAUAAUCCAGACGUGGAUUAAGGUGCAACCGUACAAGCACAUUCUUCACAAAGUACCAGCCUCGGCCUUUAUUAAAAGCCUUUAUUAAUGUCAGGUUGUUUGAAAACUCAGUUUUAUGGUCUGGCCGGAUAAAAUCCCUAACAAAAGUGCAUUACCUCUAUAACUGAGGCUUUAUAAGCUACAAAUUACUAUAUAUCUCAGAAGCACGUGCGCUUCCGACAUCCCACUAAUUCUCCUAUUGGAAUAUCAGAAACCUGAAGUUCUAUCACGGAUUAACAUUCUCCCGGCCAUUCCGGUAUGGAGCAAGAUUUUCCAGAAACAUAGUUCACCGACAAUUUCGACAACAGUCCAACUAGGUUUAUUGGAGUACGAAGUAAAGAUAUGGGAGAUUCUGGAGGGACAUGGAAUGGUUAUGGAAGGGAACAUCUGAAUUAUGCUACGUAACUAUGCUACAUUGUCUCGUACGUAGGACAGAAUGGAUCAUGUUAUCAACAAAAGGAAAGUGUUAUUAGUCGCUUAUUAUAUGGAAGCAUUGAAUGAAAAUGAUAGUCGAGUAGAGGACGUGAAAAUAACUGAUAAUCAACUUCGGCGGUCAACUCAAAAAUAGGCUAUUUAACCUACUCGAAUGCUCGUAUCGCAUUUUACGAACAAAAUGCUCGUAUAAUAUUUAAGUGCUGUGCUGAAAUACAAAAAUAUAUAACUUGUCGGUGUAGUUUUGAGAUAAUCCAAUAAAAAAUUUAAAUUUCAAUUUAGAGAUUAUAUUUAUAAGGCUUGAUUUAAUUGUAUAUUAUUCAAACACUUGAUGUUUAGAGUGAAAUUAUGACAAUGUUUAAUAACAAUCUAGAUUAUUCCCUAUAAUUGUAAAAGUAAUAUGCAUAUUAUACAAUGUAUAGGACGAUGAAAACAGGUUACGUUACAGGCUGAUAAACUACGCACUAUUGGAAAUCUAUAAUGCACCGUCCUGUACGCGCGAAAGCAUGUCGAGGCAUUGUUGUAGUAAAAAUAAUAUGAAUUACGAUCAGUACUUCUUGCAAACAAUUUGUACACGGUUACAAACGAAAUAAAGGUUCAAUAAAACGAUAUAUCAAGUAAGAACAUGUAAACAGAAGGUGAGGAAAGAAUCUAUCAUUAUCUCUUAUCAUUUGAUUAUACACCGUAUAAUGUGUUCUACCUGAUACGAAAAAUAACACUGAAGCAUCAUGUAAAUAAAAGUUUUUCAAAAUUUUAUUAAAAAACUAUUCUUAAUAUAAUACAAGACAAAAAUAGAUAAAUAAUAUUUGUAUUAUGACUCAAUAUAGUUCUUUCCAGGCCGAACUUCUUUGGAUAAUGAGUAAAAUGUUAUUGUUACCUGUUAUUAAAAAUAGAUACCAAUAUUUACGUUAGCUAUAAAAAAGCAUUAAAACUUUUUUGCUCUUUCUCUACUACACAAACGUCACGAUUUUUCCAACAACUCAAGUCUUUAGAAUACUUUCGUAAACAGAAGUGAUGUAAGUAUCAUUCAAUAAUGCGACCACGAGAAUCGUUGAAUACAUAAAUGCACGUGCAGUAUUUCCGUAUCGCGCGUGCUGAUCGUGGAUAAGCAGUAACGAUCAAAAGAAAGAUAUACCCGCACACCAAGCACGUAUAUUAUGUACCAUGUAGACGCUUCAAGAUUAUAAAAAAAUUGUUUCCAUCUACAUAAAACGCAUUCGUCCUAUUCACGGGACUCAAUUAGUUACAUUCUCUUAAAUGUCGUCAGAUAUAAAAACCUGUUUCUCUCGCAAUUAUCAGCAUCGUCUGCCUAGCCAGAAUUCUCCCAUUCAACGUGCACCAAGGCGUUUCAACUAUUACGAGACACACUGCCUCCGCUCGACUGUUUGAAUGAACCACUUCCAUGUACCGAUCCUCGGCACGAAAUCUGCUUCUCACGCGUAAUCGCGGCGAUUCGCAGCUCGACUCGCGCGGAGCAUUAGUCAAAUUAAUGGAAAAAAUCCAGCCAGUUCCCCAGCUAAGCUGAUACUCCAAGCGGCGUGUAAAAGCGACGCGAAAGAAAACCGUGUUUUCAGAUCGAAGGGAAAAGACAAGAGAAAUGGAAGGAAUAAGGAGAAGAAAAGGAUGGUUUAAAGAUGUUCCAAAAAAGAUUUUUCACUGUUCAGAGAUUUACGAUCUGCGUUGUUUUGUUGCUACGAUCCGGAUUUUAUAUGCUGAGUAAGGUAAAAAUAAGUUUUUCCUAAAACUCUAUCUACUUAGCAACUAUUUUUAAAAAACUUACAUCCUUGGCUCUAAGCGGUGUAAAAUGGAAAAAUCGAAUACUUAUCGUGUUCUUCUCUUGUAAUCUUCAAAUACGUUCAUUUGUUCGUCGCACGAAUCUCACGGUUCUAUUCCAUCAACGUCUCAUACAAGGACAGCGGAAAAGUGAGUAAAUUCAUCCGACAUAAAAAUCCUUGGACGGAAGAAAAAAGGAACAGAGAACAAGGAUAAAGACAAGAAUGUUAGCCAAGACGUUGGAAAUUCUAUGGAGCUGAUGUCAGUGCUACGAUUGCAGUAACAUGUUAGCUACGUAGUCAACAUAUACGAACGGGAAUCGAUGAAUACAAUUCAGGUCAUUGGCAAUACCAUGUUAAAGCGCCUGUCGGGCAGGUAACUGCGGACUUUCGAUCGAAGAGAAAGCCACAAAAUUCUCAGGUAUUUCUUCGAACUUACGCGUAUUGAUACUCCGUGAGAUUUUUAAUCUUACCAGCUCGUUGACCAGUUUGUUGGUGACUCACAACGCUCUUUUCAGUGACGUAAUAAUUACGGUACUAUUUUAUCAAUUGAAGGAUCUGUCAGAUUCUUGAUUUUUACCCGGAGCUUUGAACAAUGUUGCGAAUUACAUCGUCUAUAGAUGUGAAAAAGUUAAUUAAAAGGCAUCGUUAACGGGAGUGCUUUGAGUUAGCGAGUUCGCGCAGCUUUUAUCGUCGCUAUACCGUCGACGUUGACUAUACAGAGUAUCGUGUACUCUGGCCAAUCAUUUACGCCACUUUACAGCUUAAGCUUGAAUCAGCAGCCAGCAACGGCAGACAGCAAUGACACGAUGCCAUCUAAAUUAAUUCUUCUUGCGUAUAAUUAAUGUGGAACACUUAUACUCUCGAGUAUAACACGAGGUCGAGUGCCAAUAAAAUUGAAAGCGCAAAUAAGGCAAUGGAACGAUACGUCACGAAUCGUUUGCAUCUUUUUCUUAUAAACGGAUACUUUUCAUCGACGCAUGUUCGACCGCAGCUGCGUUUAUGCGAGCUGCUGAUUACAUAGGUGCAGAUUAACAAAACGUCAAAGGCCGAGCAUGCAAUAUGCAAUAAGCAGAUCUUUGUAACGAAACGUCUUAAAAGAGAGAUCGCGUCCAAAGCUCCAUUUAAGAAUCCACGAUACGAAGACCUCGUUGAAUUGGCUUGACCGAUAAACUAGCUUCUAUUCAUUGCGUGAUCUCAAAAAUUUGAUCUUAGUACGCGGUUAUACAAUUAAAUUGAAUAAUUAAGCUGAUUUCAACAUUUUAAGUUGAUAUUACACGUAUAUGGCAAAAUUACGUGCAGACUCGAAUCUGAGACACACAGAAAUAUGUUAAUGAUUGUAAAUUAAACAAUUAAAUUAUUACGUAUAGAUAAAACGAAUGAGAUAUCAAAGCGCCACCUUGCUUCCUCUAAGGUAACGAAAUUGGGCGGUUGCAAGGAAAAUUUAUGCCUAUUAUCCAAGAUCUUGAUGAACUAUUUACGUGUAAUGAUUAACGACGAGUAAUCGUGUGAUAUCUGCUUGUAAAGAGAAAUCGAAGGAGGGAGGAGGGUUUCUUCCAUGCCGAGAGGCAUUUGCCUUGAUAUCAAAAUUGGUUUCAAUACCUUCAAUGCCACCCGGACAAGGCUUGCCAAUGGAGCAAAGUGACGAGCAAUUUACUGCCACUUUUCACUUUCGAGAAAUAACACCGAGUAAACGGAUCACUUCACUCUGUUGAUUCAUGCUUAAUGACUUUCAAACUUAAUAUGCAAUUCUCUAUUGAACAUUACUGUUAAAUGCCAUAUAAUAUGUAGAACUGAUAAAAGUACUAUUAAAAAGAACCAAUUUCACUCUUAAA
This is a long non-coding RNA of Bombus terrestris (buff-tailed bumblebee), 5480 nucleotides long. RefSeq lists it as uncharacterized. The transcript has 8 exons. NCBI's taxonomy places the organism in Eukaryota, Metazoa, Arthropoda, Insecta, Hymenoptera, Apidae. The record is from RefSeq and is a predicted model, not a curated record.